UUUCCUGUUACAGAACAUAAGGUCAUAUUAAUCUUUAUAACUGACAUAACAUAUUUAUCGUAGUAACAACUGAGUUAUAUGAAAGAUAAGUUCAGUGUAGUUGUGGCCAGACACAUUUAAAAUGAGUAAACCUUAACAUAUUUUUAAUGAACAGAUAUAUCUACAUGUUAAAAUAAAGGUUUCAGGGUGCAUUUUAGGGAUGCUGAUUCUUUUGAUUCUUUAUAUCGGAAAUAUUGGGUGCAUCUAUGUUAGUGUUGAUGAUUAGCUAGUGGUAAAUGAAGGAAAACAUAGAUUGAAUACAUAAAAUUGUAAAAGAGAUUUUAUAGAAACCUAGAAAUCCUAGAACUGACUUUAAAAUGCAAAUGUAGAUGACCAUAGAACCAAACUGCUUGAGUCCAGUUUGAACUGGGAGUAUCUGUGGAAUAUUUUUUUAGAGAUGCAGCUGUGCUUUCAUUCUGUGGAAUUAAAUGAUUCAUUAAUAAAGAACAGAAGUCAUCUGCUGUCAGGCAUGAGCUGAUGUCUCUUCUGUGUGGUCCUUGAAACACUGCAAACAUAAUAAAUAAGUUUUACUGAUCUUAGAAAAAAGAAGAGAAGAAGGGAGAAAGACAUGUCUAUUUGUCAUCUAAUUAAAAAAAGAUAUUGUUUGCAAAAGGAGCAAGAUGCCAGAUUUCAAAAGGUAUUCUAGAAUGAAAACGUUUAGGUAGUAAUGAUUUUCAUUUAACCUGAAUUUUAACCAACUACAUGGUUGGUUAAAGUCGGAUGGUUUGCUGCAGAAAAUCAGCUUCUGUAUUAAAAAUCUUUGUAUGGAGACAAUUAAGCUGCCUGUCUAACUCACUGCUGGAACAGCUGAUCAAUUAUGCCAACACUGUGGAAAAAUUUUCAUUAUGAAGAACUGGGAGGGAUUCAAUGCCUUGCUCAAGUCACAUAGGCUCUCUGAUAUAUCCAAAAACUUACUUCAGAUCUCUCUGCUGUUUGAACUGCAUGGUCAUGCUUUCUCUAAAAAAAAUUUCAGACUAAUUUUCUCUUUGCUAACAAGAUUAUGGCAAACUAGUAGUCAAGUUAACCAAAGAGAAACAAGAAGAGCUUGUUAGUGUAAUUUAGCUGAGGAUCCCCUGAAUGAUUUAAUCAAACAAGCAGCCCGAUGCCUGAAUUACUCAUGAAUGCAGCACAGCUUCUCAGUACUCGCUUGGAGCGUUCCUCUGUUUUCUCAUGUCUCACGACCAACGUUUGUUCUUGCAAAAAGGCAGUGCAGCUUGACCAUCGGGUGGCAUUUUGAUACAGGCUUCACUACGUGAGUUGUCUCUGCUCUUCCCCAGCCCCCCUUUUUUUUCUCUCUACAAAGCUUCAGUUCUUCAGCACAGAGAGUUCAUGGAUGGAUUUCUUUGUCCAAUUUUAUAUCAGUAACUUAGUGUUGAUUGCAUCCAGCCUCGGUAUGCGGAGAAGUACUCUUUUCAGUGUUUGCAUUAGCUCUUUUUACAAGUGUGCUAGAAAGAAAUCAUAAUACUGAGCUGCCACAAAGACAUCAGGUAUCUCACGUUCUAAUUUGCUUUGUGGGUAUGUUUUGAAUAAGCACCUCAAAGAAGGUUCUUGCCUGAAAUGCAUCGGGCAAGGAGGGGUAGCUUCCUCCCUCCAGGGGAGGGAUCCAUGGGCAGAAUCCCUGGUCUGUAUAAACUUGCAGUGUUUCGCUGUGCUGAUUUAUACUGACUGUGAAUCUGGCCCUUAAGUAUCUUUGGUGAGCACAGCUGAAAGAAGAAAAACUGUCAGUCAAAAGACUGUUAAAUAUUAAACUUGACAACAGUUUAUCUGCUAGCUUUUUUUUUUCCUCUAACUGUUUUACUCACAUCUGAAAGGACAAUACAUCGUAAAAUAAUAAUCCAUUCAUCGCUGUCUCAACAGCCACUCGAAGGGAAAAGCGGUGUUUUUACAGUGUACAAGGUAUGCGGUGCCUUAGCUAUCUGGGAACGCGCAUGACAUUCCUUCUGCCCGGUAUCUGCAUGUGCUUCACUAUUAUUUCAGGAGAAUAUUGGCACAGUCAAAGACUGCAGCCAAGGACUACUCGGAGUCCAGAGGCCAGCAGGUAAGUGGCUUGUGUUUAAAUAUGCCUCUCAGACCGGAGAAGCAGAAAGAGGCAGACGUGACACUAGGAAUGGUGAACGGUUUCAGAUCUCUUGUUCAGCGCUGUACUGCAGGACUGAGCAUCUGGAUGACGUUAAGAGUGUAGCAAUGAUUUUUAAAGUGCUUUCUAUAGAUGACCUUGUGAAUUUAGUUCCAGGAGAUGAGGCAAUACUUUAAGCAGUAUCCAUAUAAAUUAGACCAAAAAUAUUCUAAAGGUAAUUUACUUCCUCCAAGAUUUUUUUUUUUUUGGAGGGGGGGAUAGCUAAAUUGUGAAGAGAAGUUUUUCUGCCAAAACAAUAUUUUUUGUGUUCUUACAGUAUAAAAAGUAGCUAUUUCUCACAAUCUUGAAUUGACAUUAUGGACAUCAUUUCAAAAGCAGCUACUUCUGCUUAUUCACUAAUGGCAACUCACUAGACUUGAUCCCCUGUUUGUCCUGCUUCUGUUUCACACAGCGACUGAAAAUUGGAAGUAUCAGUAUUUUGCUUGAUUGUGUAACAGCCACAAUUAACUUGAGCUGUUAGGCUGAAAGGCUUUUUGGCCGUUUCAGGUCUGUCACUCUUUGGUGGUGACGGUACUAGAGGUCUGGUAUUCUGCUCUCCACUCUACGUGGGAUCUGAAGGGGAAGGCAUGUAGCAGCAUGACUUGCAGCGGUGCAGCAGGCUGCUUUCACAUGCAGGGACAGGGCGGGCAGGUACAGCUGUACCGUCAGAAUGAAAAAUGGAAACGUGUUCUUGAAAAGCCUUUUCUUCGUCUGCCUUCUGCUAGUGGGAGGUGGCAUAAGCUGGUGAGUUGCUAGAUGAGAAGAAUUCUUUCCUUUUUUUUUUUUUCCCCUUGAAGAACCAUUUAAUUAAGAAACUGAAGAGUAGUUAUACUUGAAAAUUUUUAUCUUGACCAAUGUGAAAUAUGCAAAAUGUUGUAAGGACUGCAAGAAAAGAAACAGUGAAACCAUUGGUGUUAAAGACAAAGGUAACAGCACUAAUUUAGAUUUCCUAUAAAACUGAUUUUAGAAAGAAUUAAUAUUUCCUAUUCCCCUGAAAUGGAAAGUAAAUAGCCAGCAAGAUGGGAAAGAGAAGAAAGGAAAGCUUAAAUAAUUUGAAUGCAGUUAAUAAACUGCCCACAUUUAGAAGAGUUGAUCUCACCUAAGUGAUUCAAUGUUCAGACUUAGUCGAAACUAAAACUUGGUCAAAACUCUGCUGUCGCAAUAUUUAUGCACACUGUCAUGGCAGCUCAGCACUGUCUCACCCCUUUUUGUUUCUUUGUCUUUUCACAGCCACCUUUCAAAGCAUUGCGUUUCAGCAAUGUUCAUCAUAGUCACAUCCUCCUAGAAAUCACUGGGACAGUGCGACAGUCACAAGAUCACUGCAUGAAGGUGGCACUGCCCUGAGACAUCCUGCCUAUACGGAGAGCCAGUCAGUCACGGCACAGCUAUUUGGGUACAUGAUUGACCCAGCAAAAAUAAGGCACAGAAUCGUUAUCAACACUCCUAUGGUUAAACUCUUAUUAUCUGAAACAAAACACAUUUAGUUACCUGAAAUGUGUUGUGUAUAUGGAGCAGGACAUUGCUGUCCUGCCUGGGUUUCUAACUGCAACACAAGUAAAGUGAACAAACCAUGUAUUAAAAGACUAAUAAACUAGUAUUUCUUUAGCAUGA
Long non-coding RNA from Dromaius novaehollandiae (emu), 3766 nucleotides. RefSeq lists it as uncharacterized. Lineage: Eukaryota; Metazoa; Chordata; Aves; Casuariiformes; Dromaiidae. The transcript is spliced from 2 exons. The record is from RefSeq and is a predicted model, not a curated record.